Molecule: long non-coding RNA, 256 nt
Organism: Mus caroli (Ryukyu mouse)
Lineage: Eukaryota; Metazoa; Chordata; Mammalia; Rodentia; Muridae
Source: RefSeq, a predicted model, not a curated record
GGGGCCAGAACUGAAACCCAGUGGAGAGAGGCAGGAUCUUAUGGGUCAAGUGAAGCUGAUUAAAACGUAGAGGAACAUGGACAACAGCACUACACACCUGGAGAUGCAGACAUCCUGACCCACCCAGGAGCUGCCUCGCUCAUGGGCUGACUGCAGAAAAGAUGCUUCAGACGGAUAGGUGUCCCAAAAUGCAAUGGUGUUCUUAUGGAGAGUAGAGGACAACAUUCCAGGCAUCAAACUCUGACCAUCAGUUUUC